Molecule: unclassified non-coding RNA, 244 nt
Filed under: uncultured fungus
Lineage: Eukaryota; Fungi
Description: partial contains 5.8S ribosomal RNA, internal transcribed spacer 2, and large subunit ribosomal RNA
Rfam family: 5.8S ribosomal RNA (bases 1-52)
Source: RNAcentral
AACGCACAUUGCGCCCCGUGGUAUUCCGCGGGGCAUGCCUGUUCGAGCGUCAUUUCACCACUCAAGCCUCGCUUGGUAUUGGGCGUCGCGGUCCGCCGCGUGCCUCAAAUCGACCGGCUGGGUCGAUCGCACCCUCAGCGUUGUGAAAACUAAUCGCCGAAGGAGUUGUGGUCGGUCACGCCGUGAAACAAAACAAUUUUCAAUGGUUGACCUCGGAUCAGGUAGGGAUACCCGCUGAACUUAA